UACGUAGGGGGCAAGCGUUGUCCGGAAUUAUUGGGCGUAAAGAGCGCGUAGGCGGUCCGGUAAGUCGGUUGUGAAAGUCGGGGGCUCAACCCUCGGAUGCCGAUCGAUACUGUCGGGCUAGAGUCCGGAAGAGGCGAGUGGAAUUCCUGGUGUAGCGGUGAAAUGCGCAGAGAUCCGGAAGAACACCGGUGGCGAAGGCGGUCUGCUGGGCAGUUGCUGACACUGAGGCGCGACAGCGUGGGAGCAAACAGG
This 252-nucleotide ribosomal RNA is filed under the name uncultured bacterium. RNAcentral's name for it is "partial 16S ribosomal RNA". It matches the Rfam family "Bacterial small subunit ribosomal RNA", at positions 524 to 776 of the family's 1533-position model. The record is from RNAcentral.